RNAcentral lists this transfer RNA (73 nucleotides) under Brookesia decaryi (spiny leaf chameleon). Its description in RNAcentral is "tRNA-Ser specifying UCN codons". It matches the Rfam family "tRNA". From Rfam's summary of the family: Transfer RNA (tRNA) molecules are approximately 80 nucleotides in length. Their secondary structure includes four short double-helical elements and three loops (D, anti-codon, and T loops). The record is from RNAcentral. Lineage: Eukaryota; Metazoa; Chordata; Lepidosauria; Squamata; Chamaeleonidae.
AAGGAAGAAGCAGAUUAUGGUUUUGCUGGUGGCUUGAAAUCACUAUAAGGGGGUUCAAUUCCUCCCUUCCUUG